RNAcentral lists this ribosomal RNA (448 nucleotides) under Vicia michauxii. Its description in RNAcentral is "eukaryotic LSU rRNA". The stretch from base 277 to 448 matches the Rfam family "Eukaryotic large subunit ribosomal RNA", at positions 1 to 172 of the family's 3401-position model. Lineage: Eukaryota; Viridiplantae; Streptophyta; Magnoliopsida; Fabales; Fabaceae. The record is from RNAcentral.
UUUUUUGAACGCAAGUUUGCGCCCGAUGCCAUUAGGUUGAGGGCACGUCUGCCUGGGUGUCACAUAUCGAAGCCUCCUGCCAAUUUCCCUUUGAUUAUUGUGCAGGGUGGAUGUUGGCCUCCCGUGAGCUCUUUUGUCUCACGGUUGGUUGAAAAUUGAGACCUUGGUAGGGUGUGCCAUGAUAGAUGGUGGUUGUGUGAUCCACGAGACCAAUCAUGUGCUGCUCUAUUGAAUUUGGCCUCUUUUACCCAUAUGCGUUUCUAAACGCUCGUGAUGAGACCUCAGGUCAGGCGGGGCUACCCGCUGAAUUUAAGCAUAUCAAUAAGCGGAGGAAAAGAAACUAACAAGGAUUCCCUUAGUAACGGCGAGCGAACCGGGAUAAGCCCACCAUGAGAAUCGGUCGCCCUCGGCGUUCGAAUUGUAUCGGGAAAAAACCCUUAAAAACUUU